This 72-nucleotide transfer RNA is filed under the name Bradyrhizobium septentrionale. Its description in RNAcentral is "tRNA-His". It matches the Rfam family "tRNA". From Rfam's summary of the family: Transfer RNA (tRNA) molecules are approximately 80 nucleotides in length. Their secondary structure includes four short double-helical elements and three loops (D, anti-codon, and T loops). The record is from RNAcentral. RNAcentral also lists the same sequence under 1 other name. Lineage: Bacteria; Pseudomonadati; Pseudomonadota; Alphaproteobacteria; Hyphomicrobiales; Nitrobacteraceae.
CCUGACUUCGUUCAAUGGUAGGACGCUCGGCCGUGGACCGGGAGACGCGGUGUUUGAUUCACCCAGUCUGAA